UAUCCCCUGUGUGCCUUUAAGGCGUGCGUAGCGAAGCUAACGCGCUAAGUAGACCGCCUGGGGAGUACGGCCGCAAGGUUAAAACUCAAAUGAAUUGACGGGGGCCCGCACAAGCGGUGGAGCAUGUGGUUUAAUUCGAUGCAACGCGAAGAACCUUACCAACCCUUGACAUCCUAGGACCGCCAGAGAGAUUUGGCUUUCACUUCGGGACCUAGUGACAGGUGCUGCAUGGCU
This 234-nucleotide ribosomal RNA is filed under the name uncultured Pseudomonadota bacterium. Its description in RNAcentral is "uncultured proteobacterium partial 16S ribosomal RNA". It matches the Rfam family "Bacterial small subunit ribosomal RNA", at positions 814 to 1050 of the family's 1533-position model. The record is from RNAcentral. Lineage: Bacteria; Pseudomonadati; Pseudomonadota.